AUUGAACGCUGGCGGCAGGCCUAACACAUGCCAGUCGAGCGGAUGAAGGGAGCUUGCUCCUGGAUUCAGCGGCGGACGGGUGAGUAAUGCCUAGGAAUCUGCCUGGUAGUGGGGGAUAACGUCCGGAAACGGGCGCUAAUACCGCAUACGUCCUGAGGGAGAAAGUGGGGGAUCUUCGGACCUCACGCUAUCAGAUGAGCCUAGGUCGGAUUAGCUAGUUGGUGGGGUAAAGGCCUACCAAGGCGACGAUCCGUAACUGGUCUGAGAGGAUGAUCAGUCACACUGGAACUGAGACACGGUCCAGACUCCUACGGGAGGCAGCAGUGGGGAAUAUUGGACAAUGGGCGAAAGCCUGAUCCAGCCAUGCCGCGUGUGUGAAGAAGGUCUUCGGAUUGUAAAGCACUUUAAGUUGGGAGGAAGGGCAGUAAGUUAAUACCUUGCUGUUUUGACGUUACCAGCAGAAUAAGCACCGGCUAACUUCGUG
RNAcentral lists this ribosomal RNA (484 nucleotides) under uncultured bacterium. RNAcentral's name for it is "partial 16S ribosomal RNA". It matches the Rfam family "Bacterial small subunit ribosomal RNA", at positions 30 to 507 of the family's 1533-position model. The record is from RNAcentral.